GUAUUAUGUUGUGUACGUUGUUGAUGUUACAGUUAUAUAGAAAUAGAAUGCAAUGUAAUUUGUUCAUAGGUGUAAAUAUUGAUUGUGAUGGUAUUAUAUUGUGUACGUUGUUGAUGUUACAAUUAUACAGAAAUAUAUGUGCAUAAAAAUUUUGGUACUCGUUAUCAAUGUGGUUUGGAUGUUUUCUGUUUGUGGUUGUUUUUAUUUACUGUGUAAUCAAUAGCAUGCUUGUUUACAUACCUCUUAGACCACAGUGUUUGUGAUUUUUUAGACGAUGAAAAAAAACAAAGCCGCAAUUCUUACCUUAGUUGCAUCUGUCCUCCUUGUGGGGGUUCCAUUGUUAAGGAAAUUGCGGCGUAGAUGUAGACGACUGCCUAAGGCGCCUUAUGUUAAUCAUGCAGCUGAGAGAGAGGAAUACAUAAAUAGUAUUCUGCAUGGAAGUGAGAGACAUUGUGUGAAUCAAAUUAGGAUGAAACUUAUAACUUUCCACCACUUAUGUCACAUCCUCACUGAGGGUGAGCACGUACGCCCGACUAUUCACAUGUCUGUUAUGGAGUAAGUGCUCAUUUUCUUACACAUUAUUGGUCAUAAUGUGAGGUUUCGUGUAAUGGGUAGUCAGAUCUAUAGAUCAACUGAGACUGUUCAUAAAUACUUCAAGGUCGUCCUUAGGGGGUCUUAAAAUUAUAUAGAGCUCUAAUAAGACUGCGUAGUGAAGAUACACUCCCAGAGAUAAGGAAUAGCAGAAGGUUCUACCCAUAUUUUAAGGAUUGUGUUGGAGCAAUAGAUGGUACACAUGUUCGUGUAUCUGUGCCACCUGAAAUACAAGGAAGAUUUCGUGGUCGCAAAGAUGGAACCACGCAAAAUGUGUUAGCUACAAUUAGUUUUGACUUAAAGUUCACUUAUGUAUUGGCUGGAUGGGAAGGCAGUGCACAUGAUUCACAUGUGUUAAAUGAUGCAUUUGCUAGACCAGGGGGAUUUUCAAUUCCCAAAGGUAAAUAUUAUCUUGGUGAUGCUGGAUAUGGUAAUAAAAAUGGAAUAUUGUCACCUUAUCGGAGUGUGUGAUAUCACUUGAAAGAGUUUAGUGAUCGUCCUCCUGAGAAUGAGCAAGAAUUGUUCAACCUUCGACACUUUUCAUUGAGAACUACCAUUGAGCGAGAGUUUGGAGUGUUGAAGAAACGUUUUCGAGUGUUGGAUGCAGAACCAUUUUGGUCUUUUGAAACCCAAGUGAAAGUAGUGCUAGCAUAUUGUGUGGUUCAUAAUCACAUUAUGGGGGUUGAACCAAAUAACCAUAUUAUGGAAGAUGCAAUGAUCCAAGUAGAGUCUAGUGACCCCCAACAAGAAACACAAUCACGUCGGGAGUCCAUUGAAGACAGUGGACUGUGGAAUGCUAAGAGAGAUGAGAUAUGCCAAGCUAUGUGGUCUGAUUAUACCAAGAGUGGAGAGUAGUACUUUAUUUAGAUUUCUAUGAUUGUAAUAUGUGUUUUUUUUUUUUU
Molecule: long non-coding RNA, 1493 nt
Organism: Quercus lobata
Lineage: Eukaryota; Viridiplantae; Streptophyta; Magnoliopsida; Fagales; Fagaceae
Exons: 3
Source: RefSeq, a predicted model, not a curated record